GAAGCCAUGCAGACUCGGAGCUUUGUGCCCACAAGAACUGUUCUGGCAGGCCUGCCUGGGGCUCCUCCUCCCCUGGCGUCCGAUUGGUCUGGGGGUCCUGCCGUCACCAGGAAAACCGUCCCAGCCAGGUCAGCAAACACCAGUGUGGCUGGUCUAGAGGAUCUCCGGGCCAAGACAUCACAAUACCAAGGCAGCUCCUCGCAGCUGUGGCACCAGGGAGGCGAGUGUACAAACUGCUGUCCAGGGGACAGGCUUCAGACCCGAGCACAGCCAGCACCUCCCACUGCCGCCUCCGCCUGUGACUCCCAUACUGGCUUCAGCCCUCCCACCGGCUCCUUUGGAGACCGAGCUGCAGAGCCUUGGCCCACUGGGUCCCAAGUCCGUCUCCAUGCAGCCUGGCAGGAGGCCUGUGGCCCUCAGCUGGAUGGCAGUGCUUCCGCAGUGAGCACUGGGGACCCCACUGUCCCCCUGGCUGGCUGUGGUGGCAGUGCUGUGCUUUGUCCUCUGCCUUCCCUCCUCUCUGGAGAACCAUUUCUUGAACUUGGCCCCUGCUCCCAGGAACUGGGCUCUCUGUGUGUCCUCCCUCCUCAGCCCUCAUCCCAGCUGAGCAGCCUGACUUACUGGGUGGACCACUCAGGCCACUAAAUGCUGCCACCGUGGGAGCUUCCUGCCCUGGCCGCGUGGGGUCCCAGGAUGUUGACGGCAGUUUGGAUGCAACCUUUGCCUGCCGUGCAGCCUUUCAGACACGAGACGGUGGGCCUGCCCCCCAGGGCCAGCUCUCCAUUCAGUUGUGAAAGCACAUCAGCCCCAAAGCAAGAAGUUCCUGAUGAAAUAUGCGUAAAAAAGAACCUCAAAACUAGCAAAACUUCCACAUUCCUGAGCUCCAGGGAGGAACAGAGAUCAAGAAGGAAGGGAAGAGAAAGGCCAUGUCCGUGGAAAGCAAGUGUGGUCUACAUUUGGGGUAGAUGUUCUCUUUUGUUCUGUCCUCGCUUUCCCGGGGCUUGCUUUUCACGCGG
Kogia breviceps (pygmy sperm whale) is the source of this 1016-nucleotide non-coding RNA. The record is from RefSeq and is a predicted model, not a curated record. Lineage: Eukaryota; Metazoa; Chordata; Mammalia; Artiodactyla; Physeteridae.